UUUAUGGAGAGUUUGAUCCUGGCUCAGGAUGAACGCUGGCGGCGUGCCUAAUACAUGCAAGUCGAGCGAACGGACGAGAAGCUUGCUUCUCUGAUGUUAGCGGCGGACGGGUGAGUAACACGUGGAUAACCUACCUAUAAGACUGGGAUAACUUCGGGAAACCGGAGCUAAUACCGGAUAAUAUUUUGAACCGCAUGGUUCAAAAGUGAAAGACGGUCUUGCUGUCACUUAUAGAUGGAUCCGCGCUGCAUUAG
This 254-nucleotide ribosomal RNA is filed under the name Staphylococcus aureus. RNAcentral describes it as "partial 16S ribosomal RNA". It matches the Rfam family "Bacterial small subunit ribosomal RNA", at positions 1 to 244 of the family's 1533-position model. The record is from RNAcentral. Lineage: Bacteria; Bacillati; Bacillota; Bacilli; Caryophanales; Staphylococcaceae.